Myotis brandtii (Brandt's bat) is the source of this 3004-nucleotide long non-coding RNA. RefSeq lists it as uncharacterized. NCBI's taxonomy places the organism in Eukaryota, Metazoa, Chordata, Mammalia, Chiroptera, Vespertilionidae. The record is from RefSeq and is a predicted model, not a curated record. The transcript is spliced from 3 exons.
CUCUGACCCCCUCCCGACCGAGGAGCGCGGCGCUGGGCGUAGCAGCCGAGCCCGGGCGCGCGGGAACGAGGAAGUGCCGGGCUGGGAACACACCUCGGCUGGAACGUCCCGCUGGGCCGGAAGGUGGUCGUCUAGAAAGGGAUUUCACGUCCACCGGCAGGUUUGGGAGCGCCCCACAGGCUGAGAAACCUCACCUAGGGAACCCUCAGAACCCCGAGGCCUCUCCAGCCUCUCCCAUACUCCAGUGGCACCUGGUGCGCUGAAGCCUUUCAUCCACCGAUUUAGCUAAAAUUGAUCCAGGAGUGUCGGUCGGAGCAGGACUUUGGAAGUCAUUUCGGCCUGCGCUGUUCAGGCUUCACCAAAGAAGCCCCACGGGUUUGAGGGGGUAAAUUCCAAAGCACCUUGCAAUGGAUCCAGAUUUGGGGGGAGGUGAUAGGGGGAGAAUUGUUUGUUUUAUCAUUGCUUAAUAACGUGUGACUUGGGGGGGGGGGGGUUUCAUCUCUCUGUGCCCCAGUUUUUUAAUCCACAAAAUGGGAAGAAUAAGACAUCUGAUUGGGUAAUUAUGAGGAUCAUAUAAAGAGAUUAACACAGCACUCACCACACAAUAAUUGCCUGAGAAGUGUCAUCAAUUAUUAGCUACUGAAAUGAAAAUACACGUAAAUUUUGCAUUCUGAGCAAUGGUAUAAAACGCCUUGGGGAAAAAGAGUGACCUUGAAUAAACUUGACACCCCAGAAGGACAACCCAGUGCUCUCAGGUGCACACACAGGCUGUGAACGUGCCGCAGGCACCCCAGUUUGACAAGCAAGGAGAAAUCAAACCCCCUUAGAGAUGAGAAAACUAUGGCACAGAAAGCGGUGCCUUGUCCAAGGAGGCCCCUGGUUAGUAAUAAAAAGCCAUGUCCCCUCCUCUGCCCCACACAUUCCCACCACGCCCAUGCCAUCUAGUUUUGUUAUAGUAAGUCAGGCAGUUAGAGAGUGUAAAGUGCACUUGUGGCCCUAACAGUGCCAACUCCCUCACCACCCACGCCAUCACCCCCUCUCCCCUUUGCCACACUGCCAGGCCUCUCCCACUUGCCCUUCUGUCUUGUGAGUGUCUCUGUGUAUUUACGAAGGGUCCAGUGUGGCAGUCUCAGUGCUUUCUGAGGGGAGGGGUGCGUUUGUGGGUCUGCUUAUUACUGUGUCAUAUGGGUCUGAGUUGACAAUGUGACCUCUGACCUGAGGGGCAGUUUGCAUGUCAGUGGGAGAUGUUCCACUUGAAGCUUGACUAACUCCAAGUUGUAAAAUAACCAGUUUGCUUCCUGACACAGUUGAAAAGUGGCAAGAGAUUGAAAUUAAGGGAACUCAGAUGGAAAGGAGCGUUGCCUGACUGGGGUCAGAGGACAAUCGUUUUGUGUGAGGGAAAGGAAAGCUGUGUGUGUGAGAGGAGAGAGAGAGAGAGAGAGAAAGAGAGAGAGCGAAUUCCAUUAUCCCAGGCUGAAGUGACAUGGGGACAGAAAGGUUUCCCCAGAGUGGAUAACCAGGGUGAGGUCUCUGAGCUAGGACUUCUCCAUCACUACCCUCCAGGGUUCUCCCAAUGGUAAAAGGGUGAGUGCAGAGGUUCCCAAGCUUUCUCCUUUCCAUCGCCUUCAUGGCACCCCUAGGCCAAAAAAAUAACCAACAGCUCCAUUUGUUAGGCAGCUGGUUCCAAAUGACUUAACAAGACUUUAUGUCCUAACAACUUAGUAGGCAUCAGGAUAAACAAUAAAUAUGAAUGGAAAAAUAACAUUUUUGUUUCAUUCUUAGAUAAUCACAGUGACUUCCUAAUGGGAUGGUGCACCUGUUGAGCUCUACAAAACUGGGAAUGAGAUUGGGCACUGCCACCCACAUUUCCUGCUCCACAGUGAUUUUCAUGUAUCUGCGUUUAAUCACAAUGAACCCUGAGCACCCAGCUUUAUGAGGAUUAACAACAACAACAACAGCCCCUGCUUCCCUGAAGGGGUUUUAGGAACCAAUAAUCUACGGAGGGAUCAACCCCUACCUCUGAGGUAACUUUGGGGAGAAGAAACAAUGAGGACCAGGAGGACUAGCAAGAUGUGGAGACAGAGCAUAGAGAUGACAUGGACUUUACCUGAGGCUCUAGGAACUGAGAUCUGAAACCAGGCCACCUGCUCCUGGCCCAAGUGCUUAAUCCCCAUGGUGAACCUGUUGACUCAGAAUCUUAAGAAAACUGAGGCCUGGACAGGAGGCAGGGCUCAAGCAGUGGUCCCUACAGCUUGGCUGCUCUUGGGUCCCACUCAUUUUCUUAGUGGCUCUAGUCUUUCUGGCCAAACUGGGAAUUUGCAGGAGCAUUUCCAAUGCAUGUCUUUCCUGCUUUACUUGCUCAGAAUUAACUCCUUUUGCCUGUCGCCAAGAUGUCUACUCGAUGGAAGACCCAUUCUCCCCAAACCCUGUUGUUUUAAAGAUGGUCUUAUUUAAAUGGCAGCCAGAUUGCCUCCAAGACAGGAGCUUAAACUCAUAAAAGGGAUCUUAGCGAUCACUUUGUUCCAUUUUUCCAAAGACAGAUGCAAUCAAAGCCUUUGAAUAUAAAUUUUUAAACUCAGAAUGGAAAUCAGUAUAGGGAUGGUCCAUCUCUAUGUCAGGGGCGGCUUUUCUCUGUGGCCUCCUCUUGUCCAGGAGUCACACUGACCAGCCUAAUACAAGAAGCAGUCCACUCAACACAUGGCAAUAGAGCUUGCACCACACGCCAGACACCAGCCCCAGCCCUAGAUACGCAAAGACAGGAGGCUAGUGACGCCAAGCACAAGCCCAAUGAGCCUUCUUCAGUCCAAGAUGUGGCUUCAUCGAAAUCCUGCCUGUCCCGGGGAGACCACGGGCGAAGGUCUUACACAGUGUGUUGCAUGAUUCCUCUUGCAUCACUUUUUUUCUACUUUAUUGGUUCUAUGUUUCUGAUUACAAAACAGGAAGAUUUGGAAAAUGCAAGAAAUAACUCAGAGAAAAUAAACAUAAUCAUUAUUCUUCCAUCAGA